CUAAUAUAUCCAUAUCUGUCAUGUUUGAAUAAUAAUUGCCAUGUUGUAAAUAUUUGUAGAAAUAUGGACACCCCCCGAGACGAAGCACAAGAAGCGUUGUUGAGGGACAUAAUCGCAGAAGGAAGUGAUGCCCUCUCCUCGAUGUUUCUCAACGACAAUGAUGGUCUGGAAGGAGAGGGUGAAGAAGCAGCUGGCCCUCUCCUCAUUGAUUUACAUGGCUCCGAUGACCCAAUGCCGGUGCAAGAAGGAGAGGGUGAAGAAGUAGACCGUGAGGACGGCUCCGGUGAUCACCAAACCGAGUCCGGCCAGGUAUAUAUAUUAGUUAAGCCUGUGUUGACUAGCUAA
RNAcentral lists this ribosomal RNA (345 nucleotides) under Triticum aestivum (bread wheat). Its description in RNAcentral is "partial small subunit ribosomal RNA". Lineage: Eukaryota; Viridiplantae; Streptophyta; Magnoliopsida; Poales; Poaceae. The record is from RNAcentral.